This 468-nucleotide ribosomal RNA is filed under the name uncultured bacterium. RNAcentral's name for it is "partial 16S ribosomal RNA". It matches the Rfam family "Bacterial small subunit ribosomal RNA", at positions 28 to 507 of the family's 1533-position model. The record is from RNAcentral.
GACGAACGCUGGCGGCGUGCUUAACACAUGCAAGUCGAACGGAAAGGCCCUGCUUUUGUGGGGUGCUCGAGUGGCGAACGGGUGAGUAACACGUGAGUAACCUGCCCUUGACUUUGGGAUAACUUCAGGAAACUGGGGCUACUACCGGAUAGGAGCUCCUGCUGCAUGGUGGGGGUUGGAAAGUUUCGGCGGUUGGGGAUGGACUCGCGGCUUAUCAGCUUGUUGGUGGGGUAGUGGCUUACCAAGGCUUUGACGGGUAGCCGGCCUGAGAGGGUGACCGGCCACAUUGGGCCUGAGAGACGGCCCAGACUCCUACGGGAGGCAGCAGUGGGGAAUAUUGCACAAUGGGAGGAAGCCUGAUGCAGCAACGCCGCGUGCGGGAUGACGGCCUUCGGGUUGUAAACCGCUUUCGCCUGUGACGAAGCGUGAGUGACGGUAAUGGGUAAAGAAGCACCAGCUAACUACGUG